This 403-nucleotide ribosomal RNA is filed under the name uncultured bacterium. RNAcentral describes it as "partial 16S ribosomal RNA". It matches the Rfam family "Bacterial small subunit ribosomal RNA", at positions 28 to 526 of the family's 1533-position model. The record is from RNAcentral.
GACGAACGCUGGCGGCGUGCCUAAUACAUGCAAGUCGAACGCAGUGGGGACGGGUGAUUAACACGUGGGUAACCUCCCAUCAGAGGGGAUAACACUUGGAAAAUGGCGCUAAACUGAUACUGAUGGAUGGACUAGCGGUGCAUUAGCUAGUUGGUGGGGUAACGGCUCACCAAGGCCACGAUGCAUAGCCGACCUGAGAGGGUGAUCGGCCACACUGGGACUGAGACACGGCCCAGACUCCUACGGGAGGCAGCAGUAGGGAAUCUUCGACAAUGGACGAAAGUCUGACCGAGCAACGCCGCGUGAGUGAAGAAGGUUUUCGGAUCGUAAAGCUCUGUUGUUAGAGAAGCGGUAUCUAACCAGAAAGCCACGGCUAACUACGUGCCAGCAGCCGCGGUAAUUC